UACGGAGGGGGCUAGCGUUGUUCGGAAUUACUGGGCGUAAAGCGCACGUAGGCGGCUUUGUAAGUUAGAGGUGAAAGCCCGGGGCUCAACUCCGGAAUUGCCUUUAAGACUGCAUCGCUAGAAUUGUGGAGAGGUAAGUGGAAUUCCGAGUGUAGAGGUGAAAUUCGUAGAUAUUCGGAAGAACACCAGUGGCGAAGGCGGCCAUCUGGGACAACACUGACGCUGAGGCACGAAAGCGUGGGGAGCAAACAGG
RNAcentral lists this ribosomal RNA (253 nucleotides) under uncultured bacterium. Its description in RNAcentral is "partial 16S ribosomal RNA". It matches the Rfam family "Bacterial small subunit ribosomal RNA", at positions 524 to 776 of the family's 1533-position model. The record is from RNAcentral.